This is a long non-coding RNA of Bubalus bubalis (water buffalo), 379 nucleotides long. RefSeq lists it as uncharacterized. The transcript is spliced from 2 exons. The record is from RefSeq and is a predicted model, not a curated record. Lineage: Eukaryota; Metazoa; Chordata; Mammalia; Artiodactyla; Bovidae.
GAUACAGACUCUUUGGUGACACGAGGACGCCAGGUCUCCACUGGGUGACUUGGGGGUGAGGGGCCUUCUCCAGAAGGACCUACAGGAAGAGCAGCAAGUUGAAGGAGGAUUCCAACAAGCUUGAGCACUGACUAUUGUGCAACUGACCAUAAAAAGGAGCAAAGAGGAGGUGGAGACAACAGCAAAAACACGUCGUGGAGAAGUUCAAUGCCUCAAGUCAGAGAAAGAAGAGGCAUCAAGUCAGUAUUAGAGCCACAGUGGCCACAGCACCCAUUUUUCUCCUCUGUCUCAAGUCUUUAGCCUCUCCUUUCCCUCCAUCUCUGUCCUCUGUCACUCUGACUUUCACUUCAGGUCAUGUAAUAAAUUCACCCACCCAGCA